RNAcentral lists this transfer RNA (74 nucleotides) under Ardea intermedia (Intermediate egret). RNAcentral's name for it is "tRNA-Glu". Lineage: Eukaryota; Metazoa; Chordata; Aves; Pelecaniformes; Ardeidae. The record is from RNAcentral.
GUUCCUGUAGUUGAAGUAUAGAUCAAUGGCGGCUUUUCAAGCCGCAGGUCUUGGGGAAGAGCCAAGCAGGAAUU